This 377-nucleotide unclassified non-coding RNA is filed under the name uncultured Actinomycetes bacterium. RNAcentral's name for it is "uncultured actinobacterium contains 16S-23S intergenic spacer region". The record is from RNAcentral. Lineage: Bacteria; Bacillati; Actinomycetota; Actinomycetes.
UCCGGUUUGUCCCCGGCAGUCUCCCAUGAGUCCCCGCCAUUACGCGCUGGCAACAUGGGACAGGGGUUGCGCUCGUUGCGGGACUUAACCCAACAUCUCACGGCACGAGCUGACGACAGCCAUGCACCACCUGUCAGGGGCCCUUACGGACACUGCAUCUCUGCAGCUUUUCCCCUGAUGUCAAACCCAGGUAAGGUUCUUCGCGUUGCCUCGAAUUAAGCCACAUGCUCCGCCGCUUGUGCGGGUCCCCGUCAAUUCCUUUGAGUUUUAGCCUUGCGGCCGUACUCCCCAGGCGGGGCGCUUAAUGCGUUAGCUACGGCACAGAACCAACAAACGUGGCCCCACACCUAGCGCCCACCGUUUACAGCAUGGACUAC